CCUUAAAUGAAGAUUCAAGCAGGACCCUAAAAAGAAUUUAUUUAAUGGCACUGGAAGAAUUCACGGGGUAAUUUUUAUACAACCCGUGAUCUCUUAGUGGCAUCUAUGGUGCGGGAACAAAACAUCCAAGUGAAACAAAAUACAAAUCAAUCUAUGGUUCAAAAUGUGUUAAUGUGAACUGCAUUAAAUCGCACCUCAAACUUCAAAGUCAGCCCCAAAACAAUCUAAUUCAUAAAUUCAAAAUCUAAACCAAGGAAAACCUUUCCCCAAAAAAUUGGAAAAAAACGAGAACGAGAAGUGAGUGGAGCGGAACGAGUUGAUGGAGAGUUUAUGGGGCCGGACAUGGAGGCAGCCUUGAAAAAUCACCUUUCACACCGCCUAGAGUUCCCGGUUCUCUCUUAUUUUUUGCCCACAAUUAACAGUUCAAUGAACCAGGCCGUCGACUCUUCGUACCCGUGGUCGUGUCCCUUGAAGUUCCAGCCCAGCGGAUGAAAGAAGAAACGAACACACAAAGUACCAAUCUCCCGAAGAAUAGCACAAAACCCAUGGAUAAUAGCCCAAUGGAGCUGUUGGGCAUGCCAUCACUACAAAAAAAGGAAAAUAAAGACUCACAUACAGAUACAAAAAAAGAGCGAGUGAGGUACAAAAAAAAGAUAAUUAACUUUUUUUCUUUUAGCACUAAGUAUGCCAAAGAGGAAGCACUAACAACAGCAACAGCAACAAAUUACAACACAUUACAAUGGUGGGGGGUUCGGCCAGUGUGAGAGAGUUCCCUUAAGAAAGGGGUAGCCCGUCUCUUUCCGUCCGGUAUCCCCGUCUUUUUCCCCGCUAAACGCUUCAAUGAUUUUGUCAUGCAUAAAUUUCGCAGGUCUGCUGAAAUUUCUGCACUCUGCCAGCCAAGAAUCAAAUAAAUUCCGGCACAGACCUCUUUUUCCCUUCUGGCCAAGUUCCGCUCGAGCACUUUUGAGCGGGAAAAGGGGCUUGUAAUGAUGAUGCUUCCUGUUUGUCGGCCGCACAUAUAUUUAUGAAACACCUUUCGCGUUGAUAAGUCCCAGACGGAGCUACAAUUGAAGCUUGUACUUAAUUAUGUCUGGUACGCCGACCCGGCUUUUCUUUGAUCUUCUGAUGAGAAAGAAUUUGGAGAAUUGAGAAGGAAUUUUAGCAACUAUUCACUUGAUAUUAAAAGGUAAACUAAUAGGUAAUAUAAAAGAAUGUGGACAAAUUAUAAUUAAAAUGUAAUCCUAUAG
Drosophila suzukii is the source of this 1247-nucleotide non-coding RNA. Lineage: Eukaryota; Metazoa; Arthropoda; Insecta; Diptera; Drosophilidae. The record is from RefSeq and is a predicted model, not a curated record.